This 335-nucleotide unclassified non-coding RNA is filed under the name uncultured fungus. Its description in RNAcentral is "partial contains 5.8S ribosomal RNA, internal transcribed spacer 2, and large subunit ribosomal RNA". Lineage: Eukaryota; Fungi. The record is from RNAcentral.
AACGCAAAUUGCGCCCGAGGCUUCGGCCAAGGGCAUGUCUGCCUCAGCGUCGGUUUACACCCUCGCACCCUUCGCCCCCUGCGGGUGAGCGGUGCGGACCUGGCCCUCCCGGGUGCCUCGCCAAGAGCGGCCCCGGGUUGGCUGAAGCGGAGAGGCUUGAGCAUGGACCCCGUUUGCAGGGCAAUGGCUUGGUAGGUAGGCUCCCCUACUCACACCUGCCGUCGCCCGAGGGGACUUUGCUGGAGGCCCAGCAGGAAUUUGGGUCGGGGCCCUGCGGCCCCCCCAAAACCAAACCCUUCGACCUGAGCUCAGGCAAGAUUACCCGCUGAACUUAA